GGGGAAGGGGCGGGCGGGAGGUGGCAGGAACCUGGAGGUGUGAGCGAGCUUCCCAGGGGGUGGCCGGAGCGUGGGAGCGCAGAGGGCCAGGAGGCGACAGAGUCCCAGGGAAAAGAUCCCAGAGACCGAGACGCGGACUGAGAGAGACACGCAGAGGCCGGAGAUGCAGAAGCCACUGAAGACCCCGACAGACCAGCAGCAGACUUUGCUAAGACACCUGGAAAGAAUAUGAAAGAUACAGAGACAGACGCCGAAAGGAACGCGGAGACGUACAUCAGGAGAACCACCUUGGGGAGGACAGACGAAGAAAAAGGAGAAAAGAGAAACUGUGCAUUGGCCGGGAAUCGAACCCGGGCCUCCCGCGUGGCAGGCGAGAAUUCUACCACUGAACCACCAAUGCAGGCGGUGUGGUGUUUUCAUCAGAUCCUAUCUCAGCUCACAUGGAGUUGAGCCGACCUUGGCCCGGAAAACGGUGUAGUCAGGGAUUCAGCAAAGACUCUCGAUAGUUGACGUGGGUGGAGCCCAGGCCAUCCUUCUUCCCGCCUGGAUCCGGUCACUCGGCCAUAAAGUCACCCCAUAUGGCCAGGGGCGGCCCCACACCCGGGUGCGAACUGCCCGGGCCCCCGAGCCUCGCGUGCAGGUGAGAAAAACUCAGCCCGAGCCCAGGUUCCCAAGGAGGGGGGCAGCGGGGGACUUCUGGGGCCACACAUCUGCGCUUCCAUUUGGCUCAGGUAGGGGGAGGUGUGAUGUGCUGGGCUCCCUGGUUCCAAAUGGGAGCGCCCUCCCCAAGGUCUGGGUCCAUCCGGCUGGGAUUUUGGCAAGGCAGGCUCCGUGAAAAAACAAGCUGUGGUCGGGCACUGAACCCCAUCCAUCCCUGACUCUGAAGCUAUCUACAACCCUGUCUUACUGUGUCCUUGUCCCUGGAAUUCUUGUUGUCCCAUUUAAUCAUCGGUUUUAUCUUCUCAAGCACUUUGUCCUGAAGUUUCCAAGAUGUGCACGCAUCAUUUUGCUGAGGGUCAUGCUCUUAGUAUGAGGUGGGUGUUGAUUCCUUUUUUUGGGUUUCCUUUCUUGUCUUUUUAAGAAAACUGUCUGCUCCUUGCUCCCCUGUAAUCACGUGGGGUCUCCAGGAGCAAGCAACCAGAGCACACUUGUGUCAGGUGUCCUGGCAGCCAUACGCCUGAAUCUCCUGUAAUUACUUUUGAAGCAAAUAUUUCUAUCUGGAAAGAUCUCUCCGCCUCCGAACUGUGCUUGAAAUCCCUGGAGGCUCUCCCGCAGCCACCUCCAGCCCAGUCCAGCCAUUUCUCAGGAUGACCCUUUCUCUGAGGACCUAUUCACUGUGCUUUUAAAAUAGCUGCUUGAUAACACAUUGCCUUUUCCACUAUCCUGCAGGGAUAAGCUGGGCCUCAGGUCCAUAUCCCAGUAUGAACCGUGCAGCCAAGACCAGGACCCA
Molecule: transfer RNA, 1450 nt
Filed under: Sus scrofa (pig)
Lineage: Eukaryota; Metazoa; Chordata; Mammalia; Artiodactyla; Suidae
Description: lncRNA (ENSSSCG00070022456.1)
Source: RNAcentral